This 375-nucleotide ribosomal RNA is filed under the name uncultured organism. Its description in RNAcentral is "partial 16S ribosomal RNA". It matches the Rfam family "Bacterial small subunit ribosomal RNA", at positions 526 to 897 of the family's 1533-position model. The record is from RNAcentral.
AGAGGGGUGCGAGCGUUAAUCGGAAUUACUGGGCGUAAAGGGCGCGUAGGGUGGCUAAUUAAGUCAGAUGUGGAAAUCCCCCGGGCUUAACCUGGGAAUGGCAUAUGAAACUGGUUAGCUAGAGUUUGGGAGAGGGAAGUGGAAUUUCCGGUGUAGCGGUGAAAUGCGUAGAUAUCGGAAGGAACACCAGUGGCGAAGGCGACUUCCUGGCCCGAUACUGACACUGAGGCGCGAAAGCGUGGGGAGCAAACAGGAUUAGAUACCCUGGUAGUCCACGCUGUAAACGAUGAGAACUAGAUGUUAGGGAGCCUAGCUCUUUAGUAUCGCAGCUAACGCACUAAGUUCUCCGCCUGGGGAGUACGGCCGCAAGGUUAA